Populus trichocarpa (black cottonwood) is the source of this 3681-nucleotide RNA transcript. It is a transcript of the gene named pentatricopeptide repeat-containing protein At3g06920, with no coding region annotated. The transcript has 3 exons. The record is from RefSeq and is a predicted model, not a curated record. Lineage: Eukaryota; Viridiplantae; Streptophyta; Magnoliopsida; Malpighiales; Salicaceae.
UCUUUAUAUAUAUAGAAUCUGGUACUGGGCCGUACAUGUUGUACGGAUAUGAAUAGAUUUGGAAGAUGAGGUACUGAUUUGUAGUUAAGUUCAUUUAUUGUUGUCAGGUUCCUAGUUUCUGUGGCAUUGAUAAACACUCUCUUAAACCCUAAAACCUCUUAGGGUCAAUUUAUUUUUUACUUUUAUUUAUCUCCUUGAAGCAUGGAUUAUUAUGAAGAUUGAUCUGCAAGAUUAAACAGCGUAGCGAUUGCACACAGGUGAAGAUGCUGUUGAGGAACCAGGGAAUAGUAUUGACUUACAAUUCAAGGUGUUGGUACAUUUUAAUCAAUUCAAGGAAGUUGGCUUCAUUUUCUAAUGGCCCUCCUUCAGAUUCGGGUGGGAAAUCUCAUCUCUGUAAUGAAGGGGUCAAUCAAGAAAACUCGAGGAAUUUUGAUGGUGUGAGACGGGGAGUAGAUGACGUGUGCCAUGUUUUGGAAAGUGGUUCUUGGGGACCAUCCCUUGAGAAUUCUUUGUCAAUGUUUAAUGAAAAACCUCAACCUGAGUUGGUUAUUGGAGUGUUAAGGAGGUUGAAAGAUGUUAAUCAAGCAGUGAAUUAUUUCCGUUGGGUCGAGAGGAAAAGUGAGGAACCACUUAGUCCGGAAGCUUAUAAUUCACUUCUUAUGGUGAUGGUUAGAACUAGGAAUUUUGAUUACUUAGAGCAGAUUCUGGGAGAGAUGAGUAUUGCAGGAUUUGGCCCUACUAAUUACACUUGCGUGGAGUUAGUUGCGAGCUGUGUUAAAUCACGGAAGCUUAUAGAAGCUUUUGAUCUCCUGCAAAUGAUGAGGCAUUUUAAAUUUCGCCCGGCGUUUUCUGCUUAUACAACUUUGAUCGGUGCUUUGUCUGAAGUAGGUGAAUCUGAUCGCAUGCUUGCUCUUUUCAAUCAAAUGCAAGAGCUGGGUUACGAAGUGAAUGUGCAUUUGCUUACGACUCUAAUUCGUGUGUUUUCCAGGGAGGGUCGUGUUGAUGCUGCUCUCUCCCUACUGGAUGAAAUGAAGAGCAACACUUUUGAUGCUGAUAUUGUGCUUUAUAAUGUUUGCAUAGACUGCUUUGGUAAGGUGGGAAAGGUGGAUAUGGCUUGGAAAUUUUUUCAUGAGAUGAAGGCAAAUGGUUUAGUGCCUGAUGAUGUGACUUAUACUAGCAUGAUGGGUGUUCUAUGCAAAGCCAACAGACUUGAUGAAGCCGUGGAGAUAUUUGAGCAGAUGGAGCAAAACAGACAAGUUCCAUGUGCGUAUGCUUACAACACCAUGAUUAUGGGUUAUGGAUCAGCUGGAAAGUUUGACGAGGCAUACAGUUUGCUUGAGAGGCAAAGGGCAAAAGGGUGCAUUCCAAGUGUGGUUGCGUAUAAUUGCAUUCUUACUUGCCUUGGGAAGAAGGGAAAAACAGACAAGGCAUUAAGAAUUUUUGAGGAGAUGAAGAGAGAUGCAAUGCCCAAUCUUCCAACAUAUAACAUUAUAAUAGGCAUGCUUUGCAAGGCUGGAAAUGUCGAGGCUGCUUUCAAGGUUCGGGAUGCCAUGAAAGAGGCUGGCUUGUUUCCUAAUGUCAGAACCAUAAACAUAAUGAUCGAUAGGCUGUGUAAAGCUCAAAAGCUUGAUGAAGCUUGUUCAAUAUUUGAAGGAAUGGAUCAUAAAGUUUGCUCCCCAGAUGGUGCUACAUUCUGUUCGCUUAUAGAUGGUUUGGGCAAGCAAGGUAGAGUGGAUGAUGCUUACAGGAUUUAUGAACGGAUGCUGGAUGCUGAUCAAAUUCCAAAUGUUGUUGUUUAUACAUCCCUCAUCAGAAAUUUCUUCAAGUGUGACAGGAAGGAGGAUGGUCACAAGAUGUACAAAGAAAUGAUGCGUAGUGGAUGUUCUCCUGACCUCAUGCUCCUGAAUACCUACAUGGAUUGUGUUUUCAAGGCUGGUGAAACUGAGAAAGGCAGGGCUUUGUUUGAGGAAAUAAAGGCUCGAGGGUUUCUUCCUGAUACAAGAAGCUAUUCGAUCCUAAUCCAUAGCCUUGUGAAAGCUGGUUUCGCACGGGAAACCUACGAGUUAUAUUAUGCAAUGAAGGACCAGGGCUGUGUUUUGGACACCCGUGCAUACAACACUGUUAUUGAUGGGUUCUGCAAGUCAGGUAAGGUGAACAAAGCUUAUCAGCUACUGGAGGAAAUGAAGACAAUGGGCCACCAUCCAACUGUUGUGACCUAUGGUUCUGUCGUCGAUGGCCUCGCUAAAAUUGAUAGACUUGAUGAAGCAUACAUGCUCUUCGAGGAAGCAAAGUCGAAUGGCAUAGAGUUAAAUCAGGUGAUCUAUAGUAGUCUUAUUGAUGGUUUUGGAAAAGUUGGUAGAGUUGAUGAAGCAUAUCUAGUUAUGGAAGAAAUGAUGCAGAAAGGUUUAACGCCCAAUGUAUACACAUGGAAUUGCUUGCUGGAUGGAUUGGUGAAAGCCGAGGAAAUUAAUGAGGCCCUUGUCUGCUUUCAGUCCAUGAAAGACUUGAAAUGCACUCCGAAUCAGAUAACUUAUUGCAUUCUCAUAAAUGGCCUCUGUAAGGUUAGGAAAUUUAACAAGGCCUUUGUGUUUUGGCAAGAGAUGCAAAAGCAGGGGUUAAAACCCAAUACCAUCACCUACACUGCCAUGAUCUCUGGACUUGCAAAGUCUGGAAAUGUUGCACAGGCAAGUAGUCUAUUUGAGAGAUUUAGGGCAAGUGGGGGAAUACCUGAUUCUGCUAGUUAUAAUGCUAUGAUAGAAGGGCUGAGCAUCGCAAAUAGGGCUCUGGACGCAUAUCAACUUUUUGAGGAAACUCGGUUGAAGGGUUGCAGUAUUCAUACCAAGACUUGUGUUGCACUUUUGGAUGCACUGCAUAAGGCCGAAUGUCUUGAGCAGGCGGCAAUAGUGGGGGCUGUUUUGAGGGAAACAGCAAAAUCUCAACAUGCUGUAAGAUCUUGGUAAUAUCAGGUGGUUUUUUUUUUUGGUUCUGAGGGACAGGCCAUUGUGGCUAACCUGGCAACUGCUUGGUGGCAUAGCAGUGAUCAAUUCACUGGGUGGAUGAGUUACAUGUAAUUCCUUACUUCCUAACAUCCUUAACGGAGCCACACUUGCUUCUUGCAGCAGUAAUUGUAUUGACUUCAUGCUGCAUUGGUGCAAGUUGAUGCCGAAUUUGUACAUUUGAUGCCCACAGCUGACAUCAUACAUGAUAAUAUCUUUGAAUACUUCAUUGUCUUGCUGAUCAGCAACAUCAGAUUGUGUCCAGAACCGACAGUACAAGCAGAAUGCUCAUUUUUGUUCAUCCACUGAUUAAAGGGGUACAUAUAUCUGAGUUUCCUUCUUGGAUUUGUCCUCCAACAGGGAUGUUUCUUGUAUCAUGAUGAAGUUUUUUCAAUCCUCACAUAAUUAUGAGGUGGCAUGUUUCAGUUCAAAUAAAUAGCUUGAAUGCCAACGUAGAAUAAGUAUUGGGCCAUUUUUUUUCUGCACUAAUUAUAUUUUUACUGUAAUCUUAGAGAAAGGCAAGAGGUCCAAGGAAUAGUUAGUUACAUUUUAUAAUCUGGCAAGAGCAAAACUUGCAACCUCAGCUGCUAUAGACGCAGAUCUAUGCUAACUGGAAUGGCAGCGGUAUGGGAUUUGAUACUUUUCAACUGAUAAUGCUUCAAUACAGUUUUUGUUGCUCGCACUA